AUACGGAGGAUCCGAGCGUUAUCCGGAUUUAUUGGGUUUAAAGGGAGCGUAGGCGGACGCUUAAGCCAGUUGUGAAAGUUUGCGGCUCAACCGUAAAAUUGCAGUUGAUACUGGGUGUCUUGAGUACAGUAGAGGCAGGGGGAAUUCGGGGUGGUGAGGGGAAAUGCUUAGAUAUCACGAAGAACUCCGAUUGCGAAGGCAGCCUGCUGGACUGUAACUGACGCUGAUGCUCGAAAGUGUGGGUAUCAAACAGGAUUAGAUACCCUGGUAGUCCACACAGUAAACGAUGAAUACUCGCUGUUUGCGAUAUACAGUAAGCGGCCAAGCGAAAGCGUUAAGUAUUCCACCUGGGGAGUACGCCGGCAACGGUGAAACUCAAAGGAAUUGACGGGG
This 393-nucleotide ribosomal RNA is filed under the name uncultured bacterium. RNAcentral describes it as "partial 16S ribosomal RNA". It matches the Rfam family "Bacterial small subunit ribosomal RNA", at positions 523 to 918 of the family's 1533-position model. The record is from RNAcentral.